This 1781-nucleotide long non-coding RNA is filed under the name Mytilus galloprovincialis (Mediterranean mussel). The record is from RNAcentral. Lineage: Eukaryota; Metazoa; Mollusca; Bivalvia; Mytilida; Mytilidae.
GAUAGUCAUAAGAUCCUUUAUGCACUGAGAGAAAGAUAAGAUAUGGCAUUCAGAAACACCACUCAAAGAGAAGCUAUAUGAACCAGUGGAUGCCCUACCAAAGACCACCAGAUUUGCUGAGGAGACUGGUAUUCAACUGUAAAGGUGUACGAUAAAAAAAAACAUGAUUUAUAACUUGUCAUGAUAAAACUAUAUACCAAUCAUCAAAUUAAUAUCUUCAAGCGUGACAAAAAAAACAACAACAAAAAACGGAAAAUUGAUUAUUUGAGUCUGUGUACAAAAUCGUCAGACCGGAAUAAAAUUCGAACUUGGUCUGUGACUGUGUGACCGACGGGCACAGACUGACGGAUUACCUAGACCAAACAUACAUUUAGAAUGCUUGUGAACUGUACAUGUUCUAGCAGUUUUCCACAGACAUUGACCUUGUUUUCCUGUUUCAUAUGCCAUGAUUGUUAUUUUUUUUGGUGGUAUUGGUCUGUCAUGUUCUCAUACACUAUACGCAUGCACUUGUGGAAAAUAUACUAUAUCGUAAUGGUUAUCUUCUAAUCGUUGAUUGGUUGCUUAACGUCCAGUGGCAAAUAUCAAAUUGUUGAUGAGGAAACAUACGAGAUAAAAAAUGACAAAAGUGGGCAGUGAUUGACAAACAUGAAAUCGCGAAUAAGGCAAAAAUCGGAUUUUUAAAGUUUUAUUUCACAUUUCGCGUUCUUGCGAUUUUUACGAUUUUUCUGACGUUUUUAUAAAUAUAAAGACGAAAACGCUAAACAGCCUUAUCCGCCGGGUUCCAUAUCAAUAUCAUCGAAAUAAACUAUUUAUUACAUCUAUAGAUUACUUUUGUUGAAAUCCUAGCAUAUUGAACAUUUCCAAUUCAACGGGUUUGUCAGCUGUUAGAGUAAUUUAAAACAUAUGUGUUUGAGACAUAAGUGACAUUAAGUUAAGAUAUAAAGAAUGUUUCAAUACAUGAUUUAAAUAGAAUAAAUAAACCAUAAAGACUAUUUAAAAAAAAAAGGAGAUGCAUUCCCUAUAUGCCUGAGUACUAGAUUUGAACUCUGUCAAUCCUGAAGUACAGUAACUAUUUAUAUAUAUAUAUAGAUAAAACAUGUGGUUUGAGUGCCAAUGAGACUACUCGAUCUCAAAACAAGUUAUAAACAUAGUAAAAAGUAAACCACUAUAUCACAAGAUUUCUAGCAAAUAUUUAGAAUAAUACUUCCAGGUUUCAAAGUAGAAUGCAAACACACCCAGGUUUCAAAGUAGAAUGAAAACAUAUCCAGGUUUCAAUUAUAUGGGAUGUAUCCUUCAUGUGAUACGGGUAACAUACGGCAAAAUCCGGUAGUCACAUGUGCUUUUCCUCAAUACACCGUACUCAUUGUCACAUUGUGUCCUAUAAAUUCCCUCUAGAAGUUGAAAUUUUAAGUCCGUUCCGAUUUCGCUCUCUCCCUCUAUAUAUAUAUAUAUAAGUUGUCUGUGGUUCAAACAUAAUCUAUAGAUAGGAUCCGGCAAUUCUGAUCUGAAUGAUUUGGUAAAUGUGUUUUCCGCUUCACAAAACUGAAAAAACAUCAACUCUUAUUGGAAUAGGAAACGUGCCACUUGGAAUGAUUUUUUUUAUGAUUCCGUGAAAAGUACCACGUUCAUUCGUUAAAAACUAUGACCUUGAACAGGAAACUAUCUUCCUAUAAAUGUACCAACUAAAUCAAUUACGAACAUCAAAUAAAAGGUGGACUUCGUACAUGUACACCCAAAGAACUUAGAGGACUGUAAGAUCCGGAACAUCAAUCCCUUUUAUC